RNAcentral lists this long non-coding RNA (566 nucleotides) under Selaginella moellendorffii. RNAcentral's name for it is "long non-coding RNA (SMOE_LNC001505)". The record is from RNAcentral. Lineage: Eukaryota; Viridiplantae; Streptophyta; Lycopodiopsida; Selaginellales; Selaginellaceae.
UUCGACUGACCUGCAUGACAGCUCUCCAAUCACUACUACACCGAAUCAGUCAACUCCCCGAUGAGCUCCAAGAAAUCAUCCGGCAGAAGAUUCGCGACCUUCUUCCGGCAACACACUUUGUUCAAUUGACUGACAACAUCCUCCUACUAGCGACCACUUUUUGGAUCAGCACCGAGUUCGUCUGUCAGCAAAAGCUUGACAACCGACACCUCGACCAGCCAACAACGAUCCUGCCCAACAAGAGUGGACCGACUACAAGAAGUUCUACAGCAUAGUAACCCUUAGAAGAUUAUACAAUAACUACUACCGAAGACUAGCUUCGAAGCUGCAGGCCUGAAGAUAUUUCUGGAGCCUUGAGAUUAUCGUCGACACCGAUUCGACAUUCAGCCAGAUACCCAACAACAUCACCGACAACCAAUUUGAGAGUUUGAUGAAGACCUUCAUCCCCGAGAUACCAACAUCCAAGAUAGUUUUAGUGUACAAGAACCCACGGCCGAAGAGAGCCACAUGAACAAGCCAAGGAAAGCAGCCAGCAAACAACAAGAAGACAUCGAAAGACUUCAACG